This 497-nucleotide ribosomal RNA is filed under the name uncultured bacterium. RNAcentral describes it as "partial 16S ribosomal RNA". It matches the Rfam family "Bacterial small subunit ribosomal RNA", at positions 28 to 507 of the family's 1533-position model. The record is from RNAcentral.
GAUGAACGCUGGCGGCGUGCCUAAUACAUGCAAGUCGAGCGAACAGACGAGGAGCUUGCUCCUCUGACGUUAGCGGCGGACGGGUGAGUAACACGUGGAUAACCUACCUAUAAGACUGGGAUAACUUCGGGAAACCGGAUCUAAUACCGGAUAACAUGUUGAACCGCAUGGUUCAACAGUGAAAGACGGUCUUGCUGUCACUUAUAGAUGGAUCCGCGCCGCAUUAGCUAGUUGGUAAGGUAACGGCUUACCAAGGCAACGAUGCGUAGCCGACCUGAGAGGGUGAUCGGCCACACUGGAACUGAGACACGGUCCAGACUCCUACGGGAGGCAGCAGUAGGGAAUCUUCCGCAAUGGGCGAAAGCCUGAUGGAGCAACGCCGCGUGAGUGAAGAAGGUCUUCGGAUCGUAAAACUCUGUUAUUAGGGAGGAACAAAUGUGUAAGUAACUAUGCCCGUCUUGACGGUACCUAAACAGAAAGCCACGGCUAACUACGUG